AUUGAACGCUGGCGGCAUGCCUUACACAUGCAAGUCGAACGGUAACGAGUCCUUCGGGAUGCCGACGAGUGGCGAACGGGUGAGUAAUAUAUCGGAACGUGCCCAGUAGUGGGGGAUAACUGCUCGAAAGAGCAGCUAAUACCGCAUACGACCUGAGGGUGAAAGGGGGGGAUCGCAAGACCUCUCGCUAUUGGAGCGGCCGAUAUCAGAUUAGCUAGUUGGUGGGGUAAAGGCCUACCAAGGCAACGAUCUGUAGUUGGUCUGAGAGGACGACCAGCCACACUGGGACUGAGACACGGCCCAGACUCCUACGGGAGGCAGCAGUGAGGAAUUUUGGACAAUGGGCGCAAGCCUGAUCCAGCAAUGCCGCGUGCAGGAAGAAGGCCUUCGGGUUGUAAACUGCUUUUGUCAGGGAAGAAAUCUUCUGGGCUAAUACCCCGGGAGGAUGACGGUACCUGAAGAAUAAGCACCGGCUAACUACGUGCCAGCAGCCGCCGCCG
RNAcentral lists this ribosomal RNA (500 nucleotides) under uncultured bacterium. RNAcentral describes it as "partial 16S ribosomal RNA". It matches the Rfam family "Bacterial small subunit ribosomal RNA", at positions 30 to 523 of the family's 1533-position model. The record is from RNAcentral.